UUGAAACCCGCAAGAAAUUUGUCGUUAUGAAGGCCAAGAAAGAAUCUAAGAACUUAGCUUAGAAAUGAAGUUAGGCUUCAUAUAUUCAUACAUAUAUAGGCUUAGAAAUUAAUAUAAAAUGGAUUUUUCUUAAUAUAAAAUACAACAAAGAGGGAGCACAUGUUGAUGUUAGUAAUAAUCAUGAAAGAGAUCUAACGGUUGGAAAGAAAAUGAGGUUUUGGAGAAAAAGGAGAGGUAGCA
This 240-nucleotide long non-coding RNA is filed under the name Gossypium barbadense (sea-island cotton). RNAcentral describes it as "long non-coding RNA (GBAR_LNC002651)". Lineage: Eukaryota; Viridiplantae; Streptophyta; Magnoliopsida; Malvales; Malvaceae. The record is from RNAcentral.